RNAcentral lists this ribosomal RNA (254 nucleotides) under uncultured bacterium. RNAcentral's name for it is "partial 16S ribosomal RNA". It matches the Rfam family "Bacterial small subunit ribosomal RNA", at positions 524 to 776 of the family's 1533-position model. The record is from RNAcentral.
UACAGAGGUCUCAAGCGUUGUUCGGAUUCAUUGGGCGUAAAGGGUGCGUAGGCGGCGCGGUAAGUCGGGUGUGAAAUCUCGGAGCUUAACUCCGAAACUGCAUUCGAUACUGCCGUGCUUGAGGACUGGAGAGGAGACUGGAAGUUUACGGUGUAGCGGUGAAAUGCGUAGAUAUCGUAAGGAAGACCAGUGGCGAAGGCGGGUCUCUGGACAGUUCCUGACGCUGAGGCACGAAGGUCAGGGGAGCAAACGGG